This 238-nucleotide ribosomal RNA is filed under the name uncultured bacterium. RNAcentral describes it as "partial 16S ribosomal RNA". It matches the Rfam family "Bacterial small subunit ribosomal RNA", at positions 524 to 760 of the family's 1533-position model. The record is from RNAcentral.
UACGGAGGGUGCGAGCGUUGUUCGGAAUUAUUGGGCGUAAAGGGCAGGUAGGUGGUCUAGUCAGUCUACUGUGAAAUCCCUGGGCUUAACCCAGGAAGUGCGGUGGAUACUGCUAGACUAGAGUGCUAUAGGGGUGCGUGGAAUUCCCGGUCGUAGCGGUGAAAUGCGUAGAUAUCGGGAGGAACACCAGAGGCGAAAGCGGCGCACUGGAGAGCAACUGACACUCAACUGCGAAAGC